This 523-nucleotide ribosomal RNA is filed under the name uncultured bacterium. RNAcentral describes it as "partial 16S ribosomal RNA". It matches the Rfam family "Bacterial small subunit ribosomal RNA", at positions 28 to 523 of the family's 1533-position model. The record is from RNAcentral.
GACGAACGCUGGCGGCGUGCUUAACACAUGCAAGUCGAACGGACAGACAGAGAGCUUGCUCUCUUGAAGUUAGUGGCGAACGGGUGAGUAACGCGUAAUCAACCCGCCCUUCAGAGGGGGAUAACAACGGGAAACCGUUGCUAAUACCGCGUACGAUUCAUGAACGUCAUCGUUUAUGAAUGAAAGGUGGCCUCUAUGUAUAAGCUAUCGCUGAAGGAGGGGAUUGCGUCUGAUUAGCUAGUUGGAGGGGUAACGGCCGACCAAGGCAUGAUCAGUAGCCGGUCUGAGAGGAUGAACGGCCACAUUGGGACUGAGACACGGCCCAAACUCCUACGGGAGGCAGCAGUGGGGAAUCUUCCGCAAUGGACGAAAGUCUGACGGAGCAACGCCGCGUGAGUGAUGAAGGUCUUCGGAUUGUAAAGCUCUGUUAAUCGGGACGAAAGAGUUCUGCGUGAAUAAUGCAGAAAAGUGACGGUACCGGAAUAGAAAGCCACGGCUAACUACGUGCCAGCAGCCGCCGUAA